AAAAAAAUUAUGAAAUAUAGAUAAGUUCUAUAGUAUGGUAAAUUUAUUGAAGAAUAAUUACGUGAAUGGUGGUGUAGAGUCCAUGGUAGCAAUGACGGUUGAUGAUGGUGUAUCUGUAUAUACUACGACGUUCGAGUCCAUAAAUAAAUGAGGUUAGUGAGAGGUAAGAAUGAAGCAUACAUUGAGGAGUAUGACAUAGCACUUACACAACUUCAAACACAUAAUAAUUUUCGUUACCAAGGAGAUAGUAAUAGGCUUGGAUCAACCCAAAAUUUCACUGAUAAAGGGAUGCCCCCAAGUCGAUUAUUUGUGAUGGCAUGAGUAAACGACUUUUAAGCAUAGUCAAAGGGGUGUUAUUUUAAGAUACUCAUUGGCGAUGAGUGGUUAUAGAUAUUGUUUUAUAGUGGUCGUUUCGUGAUGGAUUAUGUGUUUAGAUAGUGAUGUUUAUUUCUUUUAUGGUGUAUAUUUUCGUGUGUUUCGCCUAUAUACGGCGGCGUCUGUAGUUUGUAUUUUCUGAAUCACCACUCUCUGUUCGUCUUGAGCA
This 544-nucleotide long non-coding RNA is filed under the name Medicago truncatula (barrel medic). Its description in RNAcentral is "long non-coding RNA (MTRU_LNC004665)". The record is from RNAcentral. Lineage: Eukaryota; Viridiplantae; Streptophyta; Magnoliopsida; Fabales; Fabaceae.